Molecule: ribosomal RNA, 301 nt
Filed under: uncultured bacterium
Lineage: Bacteria
Description: partial 16S ribosomal RNA
Rfam family: Bacterial small subunit ribosomal RNA
Source: RNAcentral
CAGUAGCCACGGGAAUACAGAGGGUGCGAGCGUUAAUCGGAUUUACUGGGCGUAAAGCGUGCGUAGGCGGCUUCUUAAGUUGGAUGUGAAAUCCCUGAGCUUAACUUAGGAAUUGCAUUCGAUACUGGGAAGCUAGAGUAUGGGAGAGGAUGGUAGAAUUCCAGGUGUAGCGGUGAAAUGCGUAGAGAUCUGGAGGAAUACCGAUGGCGAAGGCAGCCAUCUGGCCUAAUACUGACGCUGAGGUACGAAAGCAUGGGGAGCAAACAGGAUUAGAUACCCUGUAGUCCCUGUCUCUUAUAAA